CUAUGCGCCUUGCCAGCCCGCUCAGGUGUGCCAGCAGCCGCGGUAAUACGUAGGGGGCAAGCGUUAUCCGGAUUUACUGGGUGUAAAGGGAGCGUAGACGGUUGUGCAAGUCUGAAGUGAAAGCCCGCGGCCCAGCUGCGGGACUGCUUUGGAAACUGCCCGGCUAGAGUGCUGGAGAGGUAAGCGGAAUUCCUAGUGUAGCGGUGAAAUGCGUAGAUAUUAGGAGGAACACCAGUGGCGAAGGCGGCCUGCUGGACGACAACUGACGGUGAGGCGCGAAAGCGUGGGGAGCAAACAGG
RNAcentral lists this ribosomal RNA (299 nucleotides) under uncultured bacterium. RNAcentral describes it as "partial 16S ribosomal RNA". It matches the Rfam family "Bacterial small subunit ribosomal RNA", at positions 475 to 776 of the family's 1533-position model. The record is from RNAcentral.